Molecule: ribosomal RNA, 271 nt
Filed under: uncultured bacterium
Lineage: Bacteria
Description: partial 16S ribosomal RNA
Rfam family: Bacterial small subunit ribosomal RNA
Source: RNAcentral
ACAUGAAGUGGCGAACGGGUGAGUAACACGUGACCGACCUGCCCCCCGCCCCACGGGACAGCCCCCCGAAACGGGGGAGUUAAUACCUGGUACUCCGGGAGCGGCGCAUGCCGCAUCCGGGAAAGCUCUCGCGGCGGGGGAUGGGGUCGCGGCCCAUCAGGUAGACGGCGGGGCAGAGGCCCACCGUGCCGACGACGGGUAGCCGGGUUGAGAGACCGACCGGCCACAUUGGGACUGAGAUACGGCCCAGACUCCUACGGGAGGCAGCAUG